RNAcentral lists this ribosomal RNA (399 nucleotides) under uncultured Lactobacillus sp. RNAcentral describes it as "bacterial SSU rRNA". It matches the Rfam family "Bacterial small subunit ribosomal RNA", at positions 64 to 446 of the family's 1533-position model. Lineage: Bacteria; Bacillati; Bacillota; Bacilli; Lactobacillales; Lactobacillaceae. The record is from RNAcentral.
AAACUAACGGAUUUACUUCGGUAAUGACGUUAGGAAAGCGAGCGGCGGAUGGGUGAGUAACACGUGGGGAACCUGCCCCAUAGUCUGGGAUACCACUUGGAAACAGGUGCUAAUACCGGAUAAGAAAGCAGAUCGCAUGAUCAGCUUUUAAAAGGCGGCGUAAGCUGUCGCUAUGGGAUGGCCCCGCGGUGCAUUAGCUAGUUGGUAAGGUAAAGGCUUACCAAGGCGAUGAUGCAUAGCCGAGUUGAGAGACUGAUCGGCCACAUUGGGACUGAGACACGGCCCAAACUCCUACGGGAGGCAGCAGUAGGGAAUCUUCCACAAUGGACGCAAGUCUGAUGGAGCAACGCCGCGUGAGUGAAGAAGGUUUUCGGAUCGUAAAGCUCUGUUGUUGGUGAA